This is a long non-coding RNA of Drosophila miranda, 8967 nucleotides long. RefSeq lists it as uncharacterized. The transcript has 8 exons. The record is from RefSeq and is a predicted model, not a curated record. NCBI's taxonomy places the organism in Eukaryota, Metazoa, Arthropoda, Insecta, Diptera, Drosophilidae.
CUCACAUUUAAAAAAAAUACUUUUUGUUCCAAGAAUAUUCCGUAACAAAUAAAGCCGAGAGUGAGGGAAAUUCCCACGCAGACAGGCGGUAAACAAAAUAUUUGCAUUACUUGGGCUUUUGGUUAAGGAAUUUUCCGGCCCACCUUUCACUCUCAGGCUCUGCUUCUCCUUCUGUUCCCCCUUCCCCCAUAUAUGUACAUGCUCGUAUGACUUCGUAUUGUUGCGUCACAUGCGUCGGACGGGACGGGACGCGACGCGACGCCCGGGUUGCGUUUUAGUGUAAUUUCCGCAAUCAUUUCCGACAACAUUUUAUGCCCCUCUGCGCUUAUUGAUAUCGCCUGACUACGGCACUACUCUCCCGCCAUGCGAAGUGCUGACUCCGCCACCCCACUCCCUCCCUCAUGAUCAUUCAUUCUGAAUACAACCUUGACAGCCCACUGCUUUAUUUGCUAAGGAUUUGUCUGUAUUUGUUCCCAGCGGACGGAAUUCUUAAUUUUUAUUGAUUUUAUUUCAGUUCAUUGUUUUAGGCAUUUGUACCAGAAGAAGAAUAUAAGGAUAUGUUAGUAGAAACUGCAAAGAUCUAAUCCACACACAGACUAAGCCGCAAAUUAUUCAAUUGUCUGCCGCACAAAAUGAUUUCUAAUAAGAGCUCACAUAAUUUAAGUGCUCUUUUACAUCAGGGAGUGGGAAAGGGACAAAAUUGUACGCGUUUUCAAGCAGGCACACACACAUUGCUGGAACAGAUCAACCGAAAAAGGCGAGACAACGCAACAAUAACAAAUUUACACACGAAAAAAAGAAUUUAUGCAAAAGCAAUAUGCUUAUCUACAUUUAUAUCAAACUCAUUUACAUAUAUCACACAUUGCCGCACUUUUCUUCACUUUUCCUUCGUUGAGCUGCAUUUUUGUUGCCAUUUUGCCUCUUUUUGCGCCCCCGACCUUGAACAAACACAUUUUCUUGCACUAAACAAACAGUUUUUUGUACAUUUUAAUUUCACCACUGCACUUUACACUAUGCUUCACUUCACACACCCACGCGACACUUUACCCGUUGGAUUUUUCAUAAUUUGAGUAAGAGCGGUGCGAAUGCAAACUUGUUCAUUCUUUGCGCUCCUGCAACUCUUCCUAAUUGCUCUCUCUCUCCCACUCACUCUUUGGCUACUUUUGCUACUGCUUAUCCAUGAUGAAAUCAUACAAGGUGGUCAGCAGCUAUGGGACGGUCUCUUUUCAUUCCUCUCUCUCUCUCAUCAAACAAUGCGUCAUAGCGCUCUCAGUCGUGCUGAGCGUACUAUAAGACACGAAAGAGAGUGAGCAGACCACCUUGAAUAAUUUGCUCUUGCUUUUGCUUUUGCUUUUCCGUUGCUCUACUUCUUGUCUUCUCUCACUGCUAUUGCAAAGGGUAAUGAAAAGAGUGAGGUUGUGUGAUCUGAGUGGGAGUGAGAUGAAUAGACUGGUGAGAGAGUUACAGCGCGCGGUGUAGGUCGAAAUAACUUAAUUUAAUUUACUUAAUUGAUCUCUAUUUGUGAAGUUACUUAAUUUAAUGAAUUGAUCUCUGCUUGCAAAAGCAGAGGAUAAAGACAAGAAGAAGACAUAAGCAUAAACAGAAGUAGAAAGAGUAGCAGGAGAGCGUAGAAUGAAAACAUUUGCAUUCGCACCGCUCUCACUCAAAUUUAUCCGCCGGUCAAAGCGUGCGUUCGUAAGACAGCUCCGCUUUUAAAUUCGCAAAAAUGCGGAAAAUGGUGAAAAAUCCACCGGGUAAAAUGUCGCGCUGGUGCCUGGAGUGAAGUUUGAUGUAAUGAUUAAAUAGAAAUGUGAAAAAUACGUGUCUUUUUGCAAGAAAAUGUGUUUGAUCAUUGGCGGGGGCGCAGAAGGAGGAAAAAUGGCAACAAAAGUGCAGUUCGUUGAAGGAAAAAUGCUGCAAUGUGUGAUAUAUAUGUACAUAUGAGCUGAAGAGAGAGUGGGACAGAAAGCAAUUAUGUAGAGAAGCAGGAGAGCAUAGAAAUAACGGAUUUGCACCGCUCUCAGUUUUAUUUUUUCACCUGGUCAAGGCGUGCGUUUAGAAGUUUUCAUUCUUUCACGUUCGUGAUGCUCUUCAAAUGUUAUUUUUCAAUUGCUCAAGCCUAUGGGAUGCAUUCGACUUGAUAGGAAACUUGUCCAUGGUGGAGCCCACACGAUAUUCGUGGCCACUGCCGAUGUGAGCUCCAACAAGGCGGUGAUAUCGACAAAGGCAUUCAGGUCGGCAUAUCAUUGUGGCUCCACAAAACGCGGACUAUGUGGUAGACGAUGUGAUAUGUUUCUCGUGUUUACUACAGAUACAUUCUGCUGUAAAGGAAGUUCAAACUGCGUUCAAGAACAGAACAGGGAGUGCGAAACUGCAUUGUCCGCAAAUUAAGUCGAGGACAGCACUCUUCAGUGGCCGUUCGGCGGUACCUAAAACAUCGGAACAAAGUUUUCAGUGGUCAGUGACAGGAGGACUAAGGAAGCGGCUUCUACACCUAGGAGCUGCAACAACCAAUCCUGUCUCGUCUGUUGCUAAGAGAUGUGGGCUUCUCACUUGGGCUCAAUCUCAAUUGGGAACUUGGCUCAUCGACUGCUGACCGGGCAGGAGCAACGCAGCCAAAAAGCUGAUUUGUAACCCCAUUGCCCGGCAUUAGAGCGUCAGCGUCGGCUAGUAUGACAGCAACCAUCUGUGGUAGACGUCCAUGAGGGCUGAUUCUCAGUGCCUUGUUCCAGCGACACAACCGAUCCGCUUCCAGUGGCUACAAUGUGAAGCCCCUCCAGACGCAGAUUAUGGAGUCUGCAGCGUGGGAUGUACUUGUAAAAAGUGUUCCGUUUCUAGGUACAACAGACUCCGGCGGUGCGCAACUGUAAACAAGAGUAAAUACUUCCAGCAUCGCAGCAUCACGGCAUCAGAGCAUCGUACUGUGGCGUAUCAUCCAUGUACCCCAGACCUUGGGGCCAUAUUGGGGUCUGCCAGGAACAGGGCAUUGUACACCAAAGGACAUUGCAAAGGAAAGAAGGAGUAUUCGCAGGACGAAGAGAGGGAUGCGUCAUAGAUAUACAGCAACCUAGCACGUUCCCCAGCUUUCUCAUCUAUAAAUGUACUACAGUGCCCACCCACAGUAACCCAGCAAGGUCACCAGUUAAAGUCGCUGCCUCUCGCCAGACCAAACUGCAAUUUGUUGCCACUGCCGAGGCGAUCCAAGAGGCAACUUUGUUGCAGUCUCUGUGUCAAGUGCACUUAUGUGUGGAGUCGAAGCGAGUGCGACUAGCACCAAAAAAAAAAACGGAAGGGGAAGCUGGAGGCACUUGACAGCCACAAAGCGCUUGGCUUGUCACCCGCUACUUGGUCAAAGCAUUGCGUCAAGUGGCUCUUGGAGCAGUUAAGCAACGUUUGCCGACGCCAUAAAUGUUGCCGCCACAGAGCCCCCUCUGCCCCCCUCUCUUGCCUCUGCUCCUUUGGAGUUUGUGCAACUUGCAUCUUGAGUAGCAGCCACGCCGCCACGCCAACAACUAACCAGCAAAAAACAACAAAAAAAUGGCAAACGUUUGCCAUUUUUCAGGAGGAUAGGCGGGAGGAUGAGGAGUGACUGCAUCUUGGCACAGACAAUUUCACAGCAAUUUAAGUUUUAGCUUUUGUUUAAGCAACACUUCAAUCGCAACGCCUUCAGAAACUGUGUCAACCGCCUCGGAGGAUGCGAAAGGAGGCAAGUACAGUGCGGUCCUUCCAUGAAGAAAGAAAUCGGGAGCAAUAGGAGCCUCUAGGAACUAUCAUUCACCGUCGUUUCACUGUAUGUCGUCCUCUCUAUCUAUCUCGAAGGUGAUUAAACUCAUUUGCCACACACACGAGCAGGCACUCUCCACACUCUCUCUCUCUCGACUCUCGCCUCAGUUUUGUUACACAUUUUUGGCCGGGACAAUAGCUGACAGGGAAGCGCAUCGCAUCGCAUCGGUGGCACGUAGCAAAUUGUCGCCAGCUGCUGUUCGCAGCCACACACGCAUCCUGCCACACAGGUGCACUUUAUGGCUGACUUUAAGUUUCGGUUCGCUUCGGUUCGGUUCUUCUGUACGGGUUCCCUAUGAUUUAUUAUUUUCCAAUGUGCUCUCCCUCCGGGAUCCACCUGUCCACUCACACUCUGGCCCCCGGUUUCUCUGGCUAACGAUUCAUUUUGUCACAUUUUUAUUAACUGAUGGAUUGGGUGUGACCCCAAAACCCAAACCCCCAAACCCCGAACCCCGAAAGAACAAAACUGAGCAAAACUUUCCAGCCAGCUCCGGGUUCAGGUCCAUGCCCCUAAGUAUGUGGCUGAUUGGGAUGGAAUACCCUGUAGGAUAUGUGGGAGAGAGUGGCAUGAAUAGGAUUGAAUCAAGUGUAAUUUAAGCAUCUACGAGAAGAAAUUAUAUAUAGGUAGAUUAUAGCCGAGUACCAAGGCAGGGGUUACCCAUCAAAGUCUUGAAUAAAUGGCUUCCCAUUCCCUUCUCUCCUCUGACGAUAUUAAUUAUGAUACUACCUCGAAACCCGGACAAAACUAGGGCAUGUUUGGGUCAACACCAACUCGAGUACAACUUUUCCUUUGGCCAUCAUCAAAGGAGGCCAUAUUUUGUUGUUCUUACACGAGCAGGUGCUUUGUCACCCAAGCCCAUUAAACAUUUAAUGCGAGCGGGCCAAUAAGGAAAGUUUUGCCUGGACAGUGAAGCCCUGGACGAGCAUUCGAUGGGUCUCAUGCAUGCGCAGGGUCCUGCAGAUGGAGCCCUCACUGUGGCUGCAACCGUCUCGAAUUUCCAGAGGAUGUGUGGGUGCCUUUGUGGAUGUGAUUUGGUCAAGUUUUGUCUAUAUAAUUAUAAUUAAUUACUCUUUGGAAACUUUGACACAUUUAAUUAUUAUUUUAUUAAUACAUUCGGUUUUGGUUUCGGUUUCGGGUUCGGCCUGGAUGGCGUGAGGUCCUAAUUCCUAAUGAGUGUGCCGCUGUCCUAUUCGAUUUCACAGUGGAAAUGUACGAGCAUAUCCUUUGCAGCUGCUAAUUGCUUCAGGAAUUCGGAAAGUUUCCGCUCCUUGGAUCUGAAGUGUUUGCUUAAAGGAUUCUGACCCGGAAAUCUUUUCUCCCUUUGGGGUUUUUUUCACUUUAAAUUCCAUUUAAUUGUUUCCACAAAGUUAAAGCCAAAAACUAAAGAUUUGUUUAGUUUGGAAAAGCUUUGAGGGAUUGGGGUUGGCGAAGGGGGGGAACGAGGACUCGGAUCAGGAUUUUCAUUUCAUUUUCUUUCAUAAAACUUCUGUGUACUUUUCUGUGCAGCCAAACCGAAAUCGAAGUGCAAUGGCAAUGGCAAAUGCUUGGCCAGAAUGCUGGAAAAUCCGUUUUCUCUGGACAGAACGCAAAAUGAAAAGCGUUUUGCAGUUUGUGUAACUAUUUAAAAAGUUUUCCCUGGCAAGGGCCACACAUCCAAUUGGAGCUGCCCUCCCCGCCGAGGGUUGGCCAAGGAAAUGCAGAUUUUCAAGGGGAAUCAGUCGGUAGGGGGAGAUCUAUUUGCUCCUUAAUCCAGGCCAUCGCCCAAAGAAUGGUCUGGUAAUGGUCCCAACGAUUGGAUGAUCCAUUCAUCCACUCAAACUUCCCGAUCGACCCUCUGCCCUAGACACAUAUGCAUUUAUGCAAGUACACAUUCGGAAGGGGGUCCUCCCAGCCCAUCCUUUGAACUUUGCAACAAAUUAAAAUUAAGCCAAAACUUUGGGGCAGGGCAUGCCUUUGUGUGGGGCGUGGCUGAUGUACGAUAUCGAUGGCCAAAACGGUGCAGAGUUUGCUCUUUGUAUCGCACUAUGUAUCUACUUGCCCUAUGCAAGGGGCAACACUCUCAGCUACGGCUUAUGCAACGCAUUAACAACGAGCAUAGCGGAGGGGUAUGGGGGGUACGGGCAUAGGAAGGAUGAACAGCAUAUUUUAAUGCCUGAUUUUUAACGUCGGCUCGGCGCACUUAUUGACAGCUGCGACAGGCAGCUGUGAUACUCACACGCCCUCAUGCCGGCCCCUGCCACAUGCCACACACUUUGAUGCAUAUGUCAUGCGAUACACAGCCCAGCGAAACAGAAAUUUAUUUGCCUGGCGCCUGUCAAGCCACGCAGCUCCCCGGGAAGCCCGUGGAGCCCAGGAAACCCAAAAGCUAACCGAACCGAAGAGAGGCAUAAAAAAUGUUUAAUUUAAUUUUGUAGCACCAAAAAAAAUGCAUAUAUACAUGUACAGUCUGCGCCUUAACCUUUCCCCCAUAUACAUAUCUCAUAUAUAUCGUAUAUAUCGUCCGUAUAUAUAUCGUAUAUAUUCCGUCAUGGCAACUGCUGCGCCAACAUAAAAUGCUUAAACAAUUUUUAUAGGUAAAUAUUUACGGUUCAAUGUUUUUCCGUUCUUUCUCGCCCCGUAGAUCUUUUGCUUCCAUUUUCGGAUACGAUUUCCUCCCACACAGUGCCUGGUGCUAAUCGACAGACGUCAACUUUGAUUGAAUUUAAACACGGAAUGUUUUUCACUCGUGCCGAGCAGUUAUCAAAUUUAUGAAUAACUAAUGAAAAACAAUCCCAGCCCCGACCCCCCCUAUCAAGCGAAAUGAAUGGGUAUUAAUUGAUUGGGGCUAUUUUUUGUACAUAUAUGGAUUUUUAUUUGAUAUAUUUAGUGGCAGUUAAGCAACGGAAAUAAGCGGUCUUAUAGUUAAGGUAAAGCAGAUUUAUUUGUUUGUUCCCAUUUCUAAAGUGAUCCCAUUUUAUACGGAUGUUUGCUUUGUUCGGAAACUCCUGCGAUUCGUGCAUGAUUUUAUUCAAAAAUGUCUCAAAUAUGUUUCCCGUACUACUGAUUGUGAGCUACAGCUGAAAAACUGAGUAAAGGCGAAAAAUGGGAGACACUAUGAGAGAUAGAGAUACAUGGAAUGGAAUGCAUGCAAAUUGGACAUUGCACUGAUGAGCGAUGUGUCUCUGGCACGGUCGCUGUUGGACUUUCUGCCUCGUCUGCUUCGGCAGUAGCUUGUUUAAUUGCAACUAAAAGCGGAAGGCAACAGCAGGAGGAGGAGCAGGAGCAGAGGAACCAACGUUGACUGCUCCCCUGAACUGUGUCAAAAACAAGGGCCAGAACAGCAGGGCAGCAGUAAAAAAUAUACGGAACGAAACUAAAGAUUCACACACAAGUUUGUUGUUUAGUUCUGUUUGGUUUUUUGUUUGUUUGUUUGUCCAUAUGUGUACGUGUGCGUGUGUUUCUGUUUGUUCGCUGCCCGUUGCUUCCUGCAAUUUGCGCUCUGGCAAAGCUUCCUUUUUAAGCCCUUGCCACGGAGCAGGAGCUGAAGCAGGAGCCGGUGCCGCAGGUGUUGGACUGAAGCGGCAGCGGCAGCGGCAGCAUCGGGAUCAGCGGAGGUGAGAAACAGUGUUCCAAAAGCACUUUUUAAAGUUGCAAGAUAUUAUUAUUACCAGAGGAUUUGAGUGGGUAAAAAAUGAAGUAUGUUUUCCUCAUAAAAUAAAAUUCUAUGUUCAUGGACCUCCACAGAUCCGCCUCAUUAGACGUGAACCACUGUGCACUGGCGUAGACGGUGACUGCGGCGGCGGCAACAUCCUCUGCUAUCUGCUUGCUGCAGCCGAACAGUUGGCGCGAGAGGUGCUCGGAAGAGGAGGGGGAGAAGAGUGGAGAACGGAUGGGUGGGUGGGUGUAGGGUUGGGACAAACAGAAACCGACGCGGCUUUCCUUUUUGACACACCAUUUUGCAUGUUGCAUGAAGCUGCCAUGUGUGUGUGCGUGUCUUCUUCUAUCCCACUCUGUCUCCCUCAUUCUCCCUCUCGCUCUGUUUGCAUGGCGCAUAUGUCACUUGUCUAAAUAGCAGCGACACCGUUCACCUGUAUCAGUGUGUGUGUGUGUAGUGUGCUUGGAACUGACCGACGCACAGUGGUCUCCACUCAAAUACAUUGAUCGGAGCCUUCAGGGAAUACCCAAUCCAAUAAUUAUAAGCUUUUGCUUUGCAGCUUAUAGAUAUCCUAAAUUAUAAUAAAUAUAAAAACCACUUCUUCGGAAAAAAGUCCCACUGUGCACCGGAUGUUGCUGAGAAGGGGAAUGGUGGGUGGGGUGGAAGGAAUGGAUGAACGGGGGUCAGGAUGACACCGGACUGCACUGUCCAUGCAUGCAAAUGCAACAUUUGCAACUGUUCUUUCUCUUUCGUUCGCUCACAUUUUUUCUUACUUUUCGCGACAACUACAACUACAGCGGCAAACCGGCAGUAAUUUGGCCACCUUGUCUAGGUGUGUUUGCUUAGAGGAGCAGAAAGGUACAGCACAGAGGGCAGCAGUAGAGUGUGUUGCAACAUGGCAUAGGAGAGACGGAAAAAAGCCAGAGACGAAGCAGAAAGCUUAAUGGAAACCGAAAAACGGGAUGGACAGGAACAGGAAUCUAGAUGUGGGGAAUGAACAGACAUAACUAUUAAACGAAUCUCUAGAAUUGGACAAACACACAUUUGAUUGAUCAUGAGGGAAUCAUGCAUAAAAAGAGUUCAAAUCUACAAUAUUAGGAGCCACCAACGAAUCUACAAUAUUACGAGCCACCAACGAAUAUGGCGCUUCACCUUUUUGAGCAGAAGUAGAAGAAAGAAAGAGACGACUAUAGAGUAGAUUCAUGCAUGGCGCUGGUGUGUGUGCAUGUGAGUGGGGCAUACACUCGUGCACACAGCGCGGUCUUGAAAAUAAAUAGUGAGGUUAAGGCAGAAAAAAUUAUACUCGAGCUGCACAUUUAUUUGCUUUGCUGAUGUCAAAACUGAGACACAUUCAUUAAUUAGGUAUCGUGAAUGCUGUGGUAAUGCAGCUGAAGUUGCGAAAGCCAUUAAUCGACCAUAUCCAUGUUCAUGCCAUCCCCCUUCUUGACGACAUCGUCUUGCUGUUCGUCUUGCACCUCUUUGCGGUUAGCAAGGUCCACGGUUUUCAAUUUAUGCUCGAUCUCUAGUAGAUCAUCGUCCAUGUCAUUUU